Molecule: long non-coding RNA, 543 nt
Filed under: Pan troglodytes (chimpanzee)
Lineage: Eukaryota; Metazoa; Chordata; Mammalia; Primates; Hominidae
Description: long non-coding RNA NONPTRT006291
Source: RNAcentral
CAGGUGGCGGGGCAGAGAGAUCCCGUGGCCGGGAACGUCGGGGCAGGGGCGCCAGUCCCCGAGGGGGUGGCCCUCUCAUCCUGCUGGAUCUUAAUGAUGAGAACAGCAACCAGAGUUUCCAUUCGGAAGGUUCCCUGCAAAAGGGCACAGAGCCCAGUCCUGGGGGCACCCCCCAGCCCAGCCGCCCUGUGUCACCUGCCGGACCCCCAGAAGGGGUCCCUGAGGAGGCUCAGCCCCCACGGCUGGGCCAAGAGAGAGGUAGGACCAGAUCCCGGGGGCAUAACUGCUGGCAGCACCGACGAACCCCCAAUGCUGACCAAGGAGGAGCCUGUUCCAGAACUGCUGGAAGCUGAGGCCCCCGAAGCUUACCCUGUCUUUGAGCCAGUGCCACCUGUCCCUGAGGCAGCCCAGGGUGACACAGAGGACUCGGAGGGCGCCCCCCCACUCAAGCGCAUCUGCCCAAAUGCCCCUGACCCCUGAGAAGCCGGCCUGCCUGUCCUGUUGCCCCAGGGGCCCCUUUGGCUUUUUACAAAUAAAGACCCU